This 461-nucleotide ribosomal RNA is filed under the name uncultured bacterium. RNAcentral's name for it is "bacterial SSU rRNA". It matches the Rfam family "Bacterial small subunit ribosomal RNA", at positions 28 to 507 of the family's 1533-position model. The record is from RNAcentral.
GACGAACGCUGGCGGCGUGCCUAACACAUGCAAGUCGAACGGAGCUGUUCCUUCGGGGACAACUUAGUGGCGAACGGGUGAGUAACGCGUGAGGAACCUGCCUUUCAGUGGGGGACAACAGUUGGAAACGACUGCUAAUACCGCAUAACAUGUACGGAUCGCAUGGUCAGUACAUCAAAGCUUUAUGUGCUGAAAGAUGGCCUCGCGUCUGAUUAGCUAGUUGGUGGGGUAAUAGCCUACCAAGCCGACGAUCUAUAGCUGGUCUGAGAGGACGAACAGCCACAUUGGAACUGAGACACGGUCCAGACUCCUACGGGAGGCAGCAGUGAGGAAUAUUGGGCAAUGGAGGAAACUCUGACCCAGCCAUGCCGCGUGAGUGAAGAAGGUUUUCGAAUUGUAAAGCUCUUUCGGAUGUGAAGAUGAUGACGGUAACAUCUAAAGAAGCCCCGGCAAACUUCGUG